CUGGGUGGCUUCGGCCUAAACCCCCCUAACCAUUGUGAACGAUACCAGUUGCUUAGCUGGUGGCGGUGAAAACUGCAGUACCUGGCGGCACAAAACUCUUCUAAUGUCAUCUCUGAGUUACUUUUAAAUAAGUCA
This 135-nucleotide unclassified non-coding RNA is filed under the name soil metagenome. Its description in RNAcentral is "partial internal transcribed spacer 1". The record is from RNAcentral.